Molecule: unclassified non-coding RNA, 227 nt
Filed under: plant metagenome
Description: partial contains small subunit ribosomal RNA, internal transcribed spacer 1, and 5.8S ribosomal RNA
Rfam family: Eukaryotic small subunit ribosomal RNA (bases 1-53)
Source: RNAcentral
GGAAGUAAAAGUCGAACAAGGUUUCCGUAGGUGAACCUGCGGAAGGAUCAUUCAUAAUAAGUGUUUUACUGCACUUUUUAAAAAUAGUACUCACCUUGUGUGCAAUGUUGUGUUUCUUUUCGGAGAAACACCUACACCAACCUAUAACCUUGAACCACUUUGUCUGAAAAACUAUUAUGAAUACUUAAUUCAAAAUACAACUUUCAACAACGGAUCUCUUGGCUCUC